This 762-nucleotide long non-coding RNA is filed under the name Betta splendens (Siamese fighting fish). RNAcentral's name for it is "lncRNA (ENSBSLG00000001530.1)". Lineage: Eukaryota; Metazoa; Chordata; Actinopteri; Anabantiformes; Osphronemidae. The record is from RNAcentral.
CCUUGGCCUCUAAUGCAGCUACAUGGACUAAACCAAGACGUACACCCCCCCACGCGGUCCCGAUCCUUACAUCAAUCUAAAAGGACAGUUACUUUGCGUCGCGAAAAUAACAAGGAUAUAUAUUUUUGUGUGAUGAGUCGAUCUGAAUGGAAGUUUUAAAACUUUUUCUCCUGGCUAACGUAGCUUUGGAACUAAAAGCAUGCUGUUAUUCCGUUCCCUGGAGCCUCGCCGACAAAAUGGGACGUUCCAUGCAUUGAUUUAAUAAUGCUUGACGCGACUGUCAUCAGUGUAAAGGCAAUGGAAGGAGAAGAGCACCACCGUAAGAAAGGACAUGUUUUGUCAUGGAGAAGGCCAAAGAGACGCUGCCACUGCAGAUCUGACCAUGAUGGAGGUGUUGGCACUUUUCCACCAUGGGAUCCUGGAACAUCUGCACGAAGGAUAGUACAUUCGAUUUGGCUUCAAGAUCUUCUCCUGAGCGAUGAAAACAAGCUCAGUUACAGUGUCUUUGCGCAUGACGGAGCUUGGUGUAUGAUAUCUGCUGUGCAAUGUCUACAUGGAUAACCUGCUCGCUCUCCCCCGCGCCGCAAGGUACUACCCGACGCAAUCAUGCACAACCGAACCCAGUGCUUUCUUAAGAGGAUAUAUAAUACAGUUAACCUCCGCAUACUUCUGCUGCUGAGCACCUUUUGAAAGGAUUCUUCAACAGCAGCCACCAAGGAGGUAUAGAAUAAAAUGUAAUAAUAUAAGAAAAUAGAAAUGAAU